CCUACGGGUGGCAGCAGUAGGGAAUCUUUCACAAUGGGCGAAAGCCUGAUGGAGCAACGCCGCGUUCAGGAUGAAGGCCUUCGGGUUGUAAACUGCUUUUAUAAGCGAGAAAUAUGAUGGUAACUUAUGAAUAAGGCUCGGCUAACAACGUGCCAGCAGCCGCGGUCAAACGUAGGAUCCGAGAAUUAUCCGGAGUGACUGGGUGUAAAGAGUUGCGUAGGUGGCAUAAUAAGUAGCUAGUGAAAACUGGUGGCUCAACCAUUCAGACUAUUAGCUAAACUGUUAAGCUCGAGACCGGUAGGGGUAACUGGAAUUUCUAGUGUAGGAGUGAAAUCCGUAGAUAUUAGAAGGAACACCAAUAGCGUAGGCAGGUUGCUGGGACGUUUCUGACACUGAGGCACGAAAGCGUAGGGAGCAAACAGGAUUAGAUACCCUGGUAGUC
RNAcentral lists this ribosomal RNA (442 nucleotides) under uncultured bacterium. Its description in RNAcentral is "partial 16S ribosomal RNA". It matches the Rfam family "Bacterial small subunit ribosomal RNA", at positions 338 to 795 of the family's 1533-position model. The record is from RNAcentral.